Molecule: ribosomal RNA, 736 nt
Filed under: uncultured cyanobacterium
Lineage: Bacteria; Bacillati; Cyanobacteriota
Description: bacterial SSU rRNA
Rfam family: Bacterial small subunit ribosomal RNA
Source: RNAcentral
AGAGUUUGAUCAUGGCUCAGGAUGAACGCUGGCGGUAUGCUUUACACAUGCAAGUCGUACGGGAGUUUUUAACUCAAGUGGCGGACGGGUGAGUAACACGUAAGAAUUUGCCUUUAGGAGGGGGAUAACAACUGGAAACGGUUGCUAAUACCCCAUAUGCUUUCGAGUGAAACGGUUUUUCCGCCUAAAGAGAAGCUUGCGGCUGAUUAGCUUGUUGGUGAGGUAAUGGCUCACCAAGGCGACGAUCAGUAUCUGGUUUGAGAGGACGAUCAGACACACUGGAACUGAGACACGGUCCAGACUCCUACGGGAGGCAGCAGUGGGGAAUUUUCCGCAAUGGGCGAAAGCCUGACGGAGCAAUACCGCGUGAGGGAUGAUGGCCUAUGGGUUGUAAACCUCUUUUUUCAGGGAGGAAUCAAUGACGUGUACCUGAGGAAUAAGCAUCGGCUAACUCCGUGCCAGCAGCCGCGGUAAGACGGAGGAUGCAAGUGUUAUCCGGAAUCACUGGGCGUAAAGCGUCUGUAGGUGGUCAAAUAAGUCAACUGUUAAAUCUUGAGGCUCAACCUCAAAAUCGCAGUCGAAACUAUUCGACUAGAGUAUAGUAGGGGUAAAGGGAAUUUCCAGUGGAGCGGUGAAAUGCGUAGAGAUUGGAAAGAACACCGAUGGCGAAGGCACUUUACUGGGCUAUUACUAACACUGAGAGACGAAAGCUAGGGUAGCAAAUGGGAUUAGAUAC